CCGCCCUAGCUACUGUCUUCCCCAUGGAGUCCUCCUGGGCGACUCUGGGCAUCGCAGCUUUCCUUUUCCUCUUGCCGGUUCUCUUCGCCGCGCGGUUCUUCCGAACGAGGCGAGCGCGCGUCCCGCGUAACGCCGCCGUCAGCCUCCUGGUGGUGGCGGGUUCUGGAGGACACACUACAGAAAUCUUGAGGUUACUUAGUAGCCUGUCCCAGACAUACUCUCCUAGACAUUAUGUUUUGGCUGAUUCAGACAAAAUGAGUGAAGAAAAAAUCCGUUCUUUUGAACAACAAAGAGCUGAAACCGCCUCCAAUUCCUUGUUCACCCUCCACCGCAUUCCCAGAAGCCGGGAGGUCCGUCAGUUGUGGAGCUCCUCUGUGCUGACGACUCUGCGUUCCAUGUUUUCCUCUCUCCCUUUGACCUUCAGACUCAAGCCGGAUUUGGUUUUGUGCAAUGGCCCAGGAACUUGCGUUCCCAUAUGCGCAUCUGCCCUCCUGCUCAGGAUGCUGGGGAUAAAAAGCGUAACCAUUGUAUACGUCGAGAGCAUCUGCCGCGUGGAAAACCUGUCUCUGUCCGGGAAGAUCCUUUACCACUUUUCAGAUUAUUUCAUCGUCCAGUGGCCUGCGCUCAAAGAAAAGUAUCCCAAGUCUCUCUAUCUUGGGCGAAUCGUGUGACAAGAAAGGACAAGCUCAAUGUGUUUUAGUACCAACGCUGAUGUUUUUCCCCAACCGGUCCUUCAUAAGUUUACACAAGUCGAGCAAGACUCAUCAGUGUAUUUCUAAAAACCAAAGUGGACCGUAUGUGCGUACCGCCCAGUAUCACAUAGCUGGACGCCACAAGAUUAUGCUUCUCUUUCCAGUUGCUGUCAGGAACUCAACUCUACCUCUAUUGCGUCACUUUGGCUUCCAGGACUGCCGUCCUUCAUCCUCAUCUCUUAAAAAAGUCCCUUUCUCAUGAGUCAGGGAAUAAGGAUUCUGGGACUGUUCAGAGUAUGGAAAACUGAUUAUAGAAGGGGACAACCCCCCCCCAACCACCAGCUAAGGAUGAGUUUUUUUAGAAGAAGAAGAAGAAGAAGAAGAAGAAGAAGAAGAAGAAGAAGAAGAAGAAGAAGAAGAAAGUCUGUCCAGACAUCGAUUUUGAAAUAUCCAUAAGUGUAAUUUAGGAUCCAAUGAUGACUGCCAAGAAAAUCUGUCAUCAUCUAUUAUUUGCUACAAAGCAAGCAUGAGAGAAACACAGGUGCCUUGCAGCAUCCACAGUCAUUCAAAAAGCAGAUGAAACCCUUUUGGGACAAAAUGAUGAAAAGAGAAAUCUGUCGACAUAGUUUGCAGAAUGAGAGCUGGGAAAGUCUGCACCUAGUAGAACAAAUGUAACAAAAACCAAAAAGGAAAGAAAGAAGAGAGUAGCUAUUGCUAGACACUGUGUCCACUACAGUACUUAAAGUGAAAUUACAUGAGUAUAGAAACAUUUAUCUCCAAGGGUUUGUACCAGCAUGCUGCCAUUAAGUAUAUGAAAGACAGGGCUGUGGUUCUCUGUUUUAAAAAGAAAAGAAAGUCUUAGCCAUACAAUGACAUGGCUGUUCUCUCAGUUCUGGGAAUAUGAGUCUUUCCAGUGUGAUUAAUAAUAAUUGACACCUCAGCACAACAACCCUCCAUGUGUAGAGACAUGGUAACUCCUCACCAGAUUCUUAACUCUUUUCCAUAUUUCAGAUUUCGGGUGGGGGUGGGUGGGCAGGGGGAAACACCCGUUGCUCUGCUUUCUGCAUGUAUAAAAUCCAGCAGUGUGUUAAUCACAAAUGAAGGAAAUAGAGUUCAGAUUGAAAGAAUAGAUCUGCAGAUCCUCUUCUGCAGGUACAAAGCUUUGUGCAUGCCAGAGGAGUUACAAUGGCAAUCCAGUGUUGAUAACUGGUCUCUCUUACUGAGGGGCUCUUAGGGGGCUGCCUGUGAUCUAAAAUGAUGCUGAUGGAUAUGCACAUCUGAGCCUUCAUCAGCUGAGCAGCCUUCACAUAGCACCUUUUAUUUUGUCGCUGUUAUUGAUCACUUUGGCAUUUCGUCUUUCCUCCUUCCAGGGGGUUCAAGAUAGUGUACAUGACUCCACCCCCAUCCCAUUUUAUCGUGAAGUUGAGACUAUGAUGCAGUUAGGUAAUUUUGGGCCAUGGUGGGGAACAUGAUGCCCUCCAGAUGUUGUUGGACUGCAAUACCCAUCAGCCUCAGCCAGCAUGGGAAUGGCCAGGGAUGAUGUGAGAUGUAGGCCAGCAACAUCUGGAGAGUCACAGGUUUCCUGCAGUUGUUUCAGACUUUGGAGUGAUGGUUUUAUGGGGUUCCUUCUUUAGAUGCUAACAGUAUUAAUGUGGUAAUUCAGCCCUGCUCUGUUUGGAGCUCCUCUUGCUUUUUCUGUUGAAUUCUACCCCAAAUAUUGUCCAUUUGGAACCGGUGGGUUGAAAUUACCUAUGUUGCUGUGCACAGGAGGUUCUUCAAACCAUUUUCUUGCAGGAAUACCUCUAGAUUAGGGCCAGGGCAUUAUGAGUUCUAUGUAUGCCAAUUUGUUUUUGUUUUUUUAAUGAAUUCUAAUAUCUAUAUCCACAGAACCAAAAAAACUGUUAAAAUUAAAACUUUUUGGUGCAUGCUCUUGUUGUCAGUUACUCUUCUACCACAAAUUUACACUGCUGUUCCCAUGUUUUAAACAAUUAAAUAGUUCUUUUUCCCUCUGUUCAUGUUUAACUGCAAAAUAGAGCUCAAACCUAAAAACAACUCAAUUAGCAAGCCUGAGCCUAGUGUCUUUUGUAGUGUUAUGGCACUAUUUGUUUCACCUACAUAAGGAGGAAAGAGCAGACUUAGACGGUAAACAUUGCCGAUUACACCCAUCUUCAAUGCCCUCCCACCUCUGGUAUUUGAAGCUGAGUACACAUGACAUUAGCCACAACUCAUAUGCAUCCUACACUUUCUUUAAAAGUGCAGCUUUUUAAGAAAUACCGCUGUUUGCUGCAUUUCUCCUCAAACCAACAUCCAUCCGAUUUGAAAACAUAUUGCUGUUAAGCCGAAGUAUGUACAUUUCAGACAGAAGACAAUGCAUGUGCAAAUGACAGUUUCAUUGAAUUGGAGUUUGAGGGGUGGAAAAAGGAACCUGGUAAUGCACAUUGGGUGAAAACAUCUCCAUCCUCUGGUGUGUACAGCAAUGUAAAAAUGCAAAAAUGCAACAGCCACAAACCCCUUACGGUCUCUCAUCUCUUCCCCUUCCUCCAAAUGUUAUAAAAUACAGUGCUUUCUUGUGACCA
Molecule: non-coding RNA, 3268 nt
Organism: Podarcis muralis (Common wall lizard)
Lineage: Eukaryota; Metazoa; Chordata; Lepidosauria; Squamata; Lacertidae
Source: RefSeq, a predicted model, not a curated record